RNAcentral lists this ribosomal RNA (1443 nucleotides) under uncultured organism. RNAcentral's name for it is "bacterial SSU rRNA". It matches the Rfam family "Bacterial small subunit ribosomal RNA". The record is from RNAcentral.
GAACGCUGGCGGCGUGCUUAUACAUGCAAGUCGUGCGAGAAAGUACCUUCGGGGUGCGAGUAGAGCGGCAAACGGGUGAGUAACACGUAAGUAACCUACCUCUAAAUCUGGAAUAACUCUGCCAACGCGGAGCUAAUACCGGAUGUGGUCACGAUGCUGCAUGGUAUUGUGACUAAAGGUGACCUCUCCUUGGAAGUUACCGUUUAGAGAUGGGCUUGCGGACCAUUAGCUAGUUGGUGAGGUAACGGCUCACCAAGGCUACGAUGGAUAGCCGGCCUAAGAGGGUGAUCGGCCACAUUGGGACUGAGAUACGGCCCAGACUCCUACGGGAGGCAGCAGUAGGGAAUUUUGCGCAAUGGACGAAAGUCUGACGCAGCAACGCCGCGUGAGGGAUGACGGCCUUCGGGUUGUAAACCUCUGUUGAGUGGGAAGAAAAGCUUUGUGGUUAAUAUCCACAGAGUCUGACGGUACCACUCGAGGAAGCUCCGGCUAACUACGUGCCAGCAGCCGCGGUAAUACGUAGGGGGCUAGCGUUGUUCGGAAUCACUGGGCGUAAAGGGAGUGUAGGCGGACCGGUAAGUUAGGAGUUAAAUGUACGGGCUCAACCCGUGAUCUGCUUUUAAUACUGUCGGUCUUGAGUAUGGGAGAGGGAGAUGGAAUUCCAGGUGUAGCGGUGGAAUGCGUAGAUAUCUGGAAGAACACCAGUUGCGAAGGCGGUCUCCUGGACCAAUACUGACGCUGAUGCUCGAAAGCUGGGGGAGCGAACAGGAUUAGAUACCCUGGUAGUCACAAACGUAAAACGAUGGACACUAGUUGCCCGGAAGAGUCAAUCCCUUCGAGUGAAGAAGCUAACGCAUUAAGUGUCCCGCCGUGGGGUGUACGCUUUGCAAUGGGUGAACUUCAUAUGGAAUUGACGGGUGUCCGUACAAUCGUUGGAGCAUGUGCUUGAAUUCGAUGCUACGCUGUAGAACCUUACCUGGGUUUGACAUGGGGGUGAAAGUUUCCAGAGAUGGAAGCCUUUCCUUCGGGUACACCCCACACAGGUGCUGCAUGGUUGUCGUCAGCUCGUGUCGUGAGAUGUUGGGUUAAGUCCCGCAACGAGCGCAACCCCUGCCCUUAGUUGCCAUCAGGUAAAGCUGGGAACUCUAAGGGGACAGCUUGGUAUAACCAGGAGGAAGGUGGGGAUGACGUCAAAUCAUCAUGGCUCUUACGCCCAGGGCUAGACACGUGCUACAAUGGCAGGUACAGUGGGAUGCCAACCUGCGAAGGUGAGCUAAUCCCUUAAAACCUGUCUCAGUCCGGAUUGGAGUCUGCAACUCGACUCCAUGAAGUUGGAAUCGCUAGUAAUCGCGGAUCAGCAUGCCGCGGUGAUACGUUCCCGGGCCUUGUACACACCGCCCGUCAAGCCAUGAAAGGCGGUAGUACCCGAAGUCGCGUACCCAA